GCAUGUUUUGUAGCAGGUGGCUGAGAUGACUGGAACUGUGACAGAGCAUACAAAUUAUUACAUGGACAUUUAGACACAAGAAUAAGGCUUUCAUAAUGCACAAGAACUUUCUCUCAUAAGAAAACCACUGGAGCUCCUGAAUUUUGCUGUGCAAAUGGAUAAAUACUGACGGAAUACAUGUGGCUUGCAUCAGAUGUCCCAGCUCCUUCUCCAGCUCCAGGCAGUUUUGUAGGAAAAAGGGCAGGUUGUCUGGACUCCCUGUGGGCUUUGUGAUCAGUGGAUCAGCGUUAGCUGCUUGGUGUCCAUACAGCUCUCAGGAUGGAGAAGAUUUGAUGGCUAGCUUUUUCAGCUAAUGGAUGACACGGAAUAUUGCCUGAAUCCAUGAUAUAUAUCUAUGAACACCAAAUUCCUAGAUUUCAAGACCAUCCCAAUUGCUGGAAGUCAUCUUAAGAGGUAAAUAGAGUUAAGAUUUUAGGAAGAAAGCCCAAGUUUCCACUCUACCAAUAUUAAUUUAAUGUGU
Molecule: long non-coding RNA, 520 nt
Filed under: Chloebia gouldiae (Gouldian finch)
Lineage: Eukaryota; Metazoa; Chordata; Aves; Passeriformes; Passeridae
Description: Erythrura gouldiae (Gouldian finch) lncRNA (ENSEGOG00005005822.1)
Source: RNAcentral